Molecule: ribosomal RNA, 475 nt
Filed under: Porphyromonas gulae
Lineage: Bacteria; Pseudomonadati; Bacteroidota; Bacteroidia; Bacteroidales; Porphyromonadaceae
Description: bacterial SSU rRNA
Rfam family: Bacterial small subunit ribosomal RNA
Source: RNAcentral
GAGUUUGAUUCUGGCUCAGGAUGAACGCUAGCGAUAGGCUUAACACAUGCAAGUCGAGGGGCAGCAUGAACUUAGCUUGCUAAGUUUGAUGGCGACCGGCGCACGGGUGCGUAACGCGUAUGCAACUUGCCUUACAGAGGGGGAUAACCCGUUGAAAGACGGACUAAUACCGCAUAUACUUAUUCGGUUGCAUGACCGGGCAAGGAAAUAUUUAUAGCUGUAAGAUAGGCAUGCGUCCCAUUAGCUGGUUGGUGAGGUAACGGCUCACCAAGGCAACGAUGGGUAGGGGAACUGAGAGGUUUAUCCCCCACACUGGUACUGAGACACGGACCAGACUCCUACGGGAGGCAGCAGUGAGGAAUAUUGGUCAAUGGGCGAGAGCCUGAACCAGCCAAGUCGCGUGAAGGAAGACUGUCCUAAGGAUUGUAAACUUCUUUUAUACGGGAAUAACGGGCGAUACGCGUAUUGCUAUGAA